CCUACGGGAGGCAGCAGUGGGGAAUAUUGGACAAUGGACCAAAAGUCUGAUCCAGCAAUUCUGUGUGCACGAUGAAGGUCUUCGGAUCGUAAAGUGCUUUCAGUAGGGAAGAAAAAAAUGACGGUACCUAUAGAAGAAGCGACGGCUAAAUACGUGCCAGCAGCCGCGGUAAUACGUAUGUCGCAAGCGUUAUCCGGAAUUAUUGGGCGUAAAGCGCGUCUAGGCGGUCUUUUAAGUCUGAUGUUAAAAUGCGGGGCUCAACUCCGUAUUGCGUUGGAAACUGGAAGACUAGAGUAUCAGAGAGGUGGGCGGAACUACAAGUGUAGAGGUGAAAUUCGUAGAUAUUUGUAGGAAUGCCGAUUGGGAAGCCAGCUCACUGGAUGAAUACUGACGCUGAAGCGCGAAAGCGUGGGGAGCAAACGGGAUUAGAUACCCCGGUAGUCCACGCCGUAAACGAUGAUCACUAAGUGUGGGGGGUCGAACCUCCGUGCUCAAGCUAACGCGAUAAGUGAUCCGCCUGGGGAGUACGCACGCAAGUGUGAAACUCAAAGGAAUUGACGGA
This 562-nucleotide ribosomal RNA is filed under the name uncultured bacterium. RNAcentral's name for it is "bacterial SSU rRNA". It matches the Rfam family "Bacterial small subunit ribosomal RNA", at positions 338 to 917 of the family's 1533-position model. The record is from RNAcentral.